This 178-nucleotide ribosomal RNA is filed under the name uncultured Staphylococcus sp. RNAcentral describes it as "partial 16S ribosomal RNA". It matches the Rfam family "Bacterial small subunit ribosomal RNA", at positions 162 to 334 of the family's 1533-position model. The record is from RNAcentral. Lineage: Bacteria; Bacillati; Bacillota; Bacilli; Caryophanales; Staphylococcaceae.
GCUAAUACCAGAUAACAUGUUGAACCGCAUGGUUCAACAGUGAAAGACGGUCUUGCUGUCACUUAUAGAUGGAUCCGCGCCGCAUUAGCUAGUUGGUAAGGUAACGGCUUACCAAGGCAACGAUGCGUAGCCGACCUGAGAGGGUGAUCGGCCACACUGGAACUGAGACACGGUCCAG